This 622-nucleotide long non-coding RNA is filed under the name Ursus maritimus (polar bear). Its description in RNAcentral is "lncRNA (ENSUMAG00000007361.1)". The record is from RNAcentral. Lineage: Eukaryota; Metazoa; Chordata; Mammalia; Carnivora; Ursidae.
GAGAAUAGCACUGGCCUGGGCACCCAUGUUCUCACACGGCCACCCUCCUCAGGGCUCUGGGGGCUUCCUCCAGUCUGAGCCAGCCAGGGCACUGAUGCCUGGCUCCAGGACGCACAUGGAAGGUGGGCUGCCCUCCCAAAAGAUGACGUCGUGGAUCCCCGAAAACUGUCCCGAAGGUCACUGCCAGGGAAAGCCUCAGCUGCUUCUGGCCCCCGCCCAUCAUGGAAGCAGUUCCAAAGCCCAGGCCGGACAAGACCUGCAAGCCUGGCCAGGGGUCCGCUCACACCAGUUCGAAGCCUUCUGUGCAGGGGGCCUGGCCCCUGGCUGGAGCCUGCUGGUCCAGGGACACUCUGAUUCUGGAGAGGACAAGUAAGGGUCACCACCCUCCCCAGGGGCUCCCUCUCAGCCUUGGGUGGGGUGACUCUCCAGUCAUUUGCUGUCCCACAACCCCCCCAUGACGCCCCGCAGGUUUGAGAUCAACUUCCUGUCCGAGGCGGGGGACAUUGCCUUCCACGUCAAGCCCCGGUUCUCCAGCACCACCGUGGUGGGCAACACCUUCCAGGGGCGCCUCUGGGGCCAGGAGGAGGUGUCCAGCGUCUUCCCGCUGGUGCUGGGGGAGCCC